Molecule: unclassified non-coding RNA, 326 nt
Filed under: Hevea brasiliensis (rubber tree)
Lineage: Eukaryota; Viridiplantae; Streptophyta; Magnoliopsida; Malpighiales; Euphorbiaceae
Source: RNAcentral
UAUACUAUAUCAAUAUCUGAAAGAAGAACACUGUAGCCCAACUGCAAAAAUUCCCUCAAAAUACGGAACUUCAAUGCAGAGACAGCAUGGUUGCCUCCUGUUCUUGCAACUGAAUCAAUACCUUCAUCUGGAUCUCUCUUGUAUACAGGAACAUCAUUUGACUUGCAGAACUCUACAAUAUGAUCAUCUAAUGCUAUAACCAGGUAAUUGGGUAUACCAACUCUCUUAAUGUUAGUGAACCAGACCUCUAACAUGCUUUUCACAUUUGAAUUUGCAAGUGCAACUAUCAGCUCCAUACCAACCGCAACAUCCUCCAAGAUUUUUGC